Molecule: non-coding RNA, 306 nt
Organism: Anabaena sp. 90
Lineage: Bacteria; Bacillati; Cyanobacteriota; Cyanophyceae; Nostocales; Nostocaceae
Rfam family: HNH endonuclease-associated RNA and ORF (HEARO) RNA
Source: Rfam
GUCAGUAACUCAGGGCUAAAGCCACUGAGCUUGUAAGAGUAAUCAAGCAAGCUGUACUGACCAGACCACCCUGAGCGUAGUCGUUCGCGAAGCGUCCCGUAGGGUAGGGUAGCCGUUAUUUGAGUCAAGACACCGGAGAAUGCGACGCCCCUUCGGGGUUCAGCAGUCGCUCAUGGGGGAAACCCCCAAGACCGCGCUGCUUCACUAGUUUUCCGCUCUGUCGUUUGUAAUUAAACAGUUUUAAAGUCACUGAAACAGUGUUGCAAGCCUAAAAAGCUCAGAUAACAAGGUCAAAGCGAACAUCAC